RNAcentral lists this ribosomal RNA (344 nucleotides) under uncultured bacterium. RNAcentral's name for it is "bacterial SSU rRNA". It matches the Rfam family "Bacterial small subunit ribosomal RNA", at positions 28 to 371 of the family's 1533-position model. The record is from RNAcentral.
GACGAACGCUGGCGGCGUGCUUAACACAUGCAAGUCGAGCGGUAAGGCCCUUUCGGGGGUACGACGAGCGGCGAACGGGUGAGUAACACGUGGGUGACCUGCCCUCAGCUCUGGGAUAAGCCUGGGAAACCGGGUCUAAUACUGGAUAUGACUCCAUGACGCAUGUUGUGGGGUGGAAAGCCUUGUGCGGCUGAGGAUGGGCCCGCGGCCUAUCAGCUAGUUGGCGGGGUAACGGCCCACCAAGGCGACGAUGGGUAGCCGAUCUGAGAGGAUGACCGGCCACACUGGGACUGAGAUACGGCCCAGACUCCUACGGGAGGGCAGCAGUCGAGAGGCUUCGGCAA